GAUGAACGCUGGCGGCGUGCCUAAUACAUGCAAGUCGAGCGAACAGACGAGGAGCUUGCUCCUCUGACGUUAGCGGCGGACGGGUGAGUAACACGUGGAUAACCUACCUAUAAGACUGGGAUAACUUCGGGAAACCGGAGCUAAUACCGGAUAAUAUAUUGAACCGCAUGGUUCAAUAGUGAAAGACGGUUUUGCUGUCACUUAUAGAUGGAUCCGCGCCGCAUUAGCUAGUUGGUAAGGUAACGGCUUACCAAGGCAACGAUGCGUAGCCGACCUGAGAGGGUGGUCGGCCACACGGGAACUGGGACACGGUCCAGACUCCUACGGGAGGCAGCAGUAGGGAAUCUUCCGCAAUGGGCGAAAGCCUGACGGAGCAACGCCGCGUGAGUGAUGAAGGUCUUCGGAUCGUAAAACUCUGUUAUUAGGGAAGAACAAAUGUGUAAGUAACUAUGCACGUCUUGACGGUACCUAAUCAGAAAGCCACGGCUAACUACGUG
RNAcentral lists this ribosomal RNA (497 nucleotides) under uncultured bacterium. RNAcentral's name for it is "partial 16S ribosomal RNA". It matches the Rfam family "Bacterial small subunit ribosomal RNA", at positions 28 to 507 of the family's 1533-position model. The record is from RNAcentral.